UACGUAGGGUGCAAGCGUUAAUCGGAAUUACUGGGCGUAAAGCGUACGCAGGCGGCUUUGCAAGACAGGUGUGAAAUCCCCGGGCUCAACCUGGGAAUGGCAUUUGGGACUGCAAGGCUAGAGUGUGGCAGAGGGGGGUGGAAUUCCGCGUGUAGCAGUGAAAUGCGUAGAGAUGCGGAGGAACACCGAUGGCGAAGGCAGCCCCCUGGGUUGACACUGACACUCAUGCACGAAAGCGUGGGGAGCAAACAGG
Molecule: ribosomal RNA, 253 nt
Filed under: uncultured prokaryote
Description: partial 16S ribosomal RNA
Rfam family: Bacterial small subunit ribosomal RNA
Source: RNAcentral